RNAcentral lists this ribosomal RNA (230 nucleotides) under uncultured bacterium. RNAcentral describes it as "partial 16S ribosomal RNA". It matches the Rfam family "Bacterial small subunit ribosomal RNA", at positions 562 to 791 of the family's 1533-position model. The record is from RNAcentral.
AAAGCGUGCGCAGGCGGUUAUAUAAGACAGAUGUGAAAUCCCCGGGCUCAACCUGGGAACUGCAUUUGUGACUGUAUAGCUAGAGUACGGCAGAGGGGGAUGGAAUUCCGCGUGUAGCAGUGAAAUGCGUAGAUAUGCGGAGGAACACCGAUGGCGAAGGCAAUCCCCUGGGCCUGUACUGACGCUCAUGCACGAAAGCGUGGGGAGCAAACAGGAUUAGAUACCCCAGU